This 1362-nucleotide unclassified non-coding RNA is filed under the name Penaeus chinensis. RNAcentral's name for it is "uncharacterized LOC125027022, transcript variant X6". The record is from RNAcentral. Lineage: Eukaryota; Metazoa; Arthropoda; Malacostraca; Decapoda; Penaeidae.
UUUCGAGCUAUGAAUGAACGGGACGUGAAUGAAAUGGGGAUGAAUGAAGUGCGUGGUUCGUGAGUACAACCGGUGUGUCAUUGAAGGCAGUUGUGGGUUCCAGUUGGGGUCAGAUGAAUCCACACGUGAAUUCAUCCAGCUGCGAUACAAACUUCGCCACCUUUUUAAUGGCAGAAAACAUCAGUGCGAAAAGGCCUAUAGUCGUAUUGUUGAGGAACUUGGGCUAACAAAUAUCAUAACACCAACCCAGGCCAGGAAAAAAUGGUCCAAUCUUCUUCAGAAAUAUAUGGACAUUAAGGGAGGCUACUCAACAGCCAAUGCAGACUGGCCAUACUUCCAAAUACUAGACCAAAUUGUUCCUCUUAUGAGGAAAGAGAAGAUCGAGAAAGUUCCUCCAGCAUCCGUUGACCACAGUGACAUUGAAGCAGCACAGGAGAGUCUGCAAAGCCCCUUAACCACCCCUGUUGUGGCUGCCAGAGACCCUCUUGGUGUGACGACUGUGGAAUCAGUGAUGGUGUCAGCCCAGCCGUCCACACCUACAGGGGACCAGUGCAAGACAGAGGCAGCAGAUGGGGAGCCUCCAAGAAAGAGAGGGAGGAGUCGCCGUGCAGCCCAGCGAGCAAGGGACAGGUGGUGGGGAGCAGUGGAGGAAGAUGACUUAGGCUCUGACUCAACGAGCUCUGCAGUCAAAGGGGAAAUAUCCGGUCUCCGAAUGUCAAGCAAGUCUUCUAUGAGUGAGAGCCUGGACCCUAUGCAGAUGGAGGUCCAGACUUUCCAGAUGCUGGAAUCUUGUUCUAAUGCCCUUGUAGACAUCAGAGAGACAUUGAAGAUGCAUGCUGAACAGCAGGAAAGCAUCAUGCAGAGCUUACAGCAGACAGUAGUCAGUCAGGGGAACACCAUUAAGGAACUGUUGUCGACUAUGACAAGCCAGAAUGCAACACUGAUUGCCCUCAUGACACAGCUGUCAACAGGCGCUGCACCUCAGCUAGGCAUAGCUAGCGGCAGCUUCAGCCAGCAGAAGCACCGAGAGACACAGGCAUCCCACCCUCACCAGCAGAACCAGCUCCUCUCGUCGCAACAGAAUAUCAUCAGCGCACUUUCCCACGAGAGCCAGGACUGCGAGACUUCCCUAGUUGAGAAUUCAGAGUUGUCGGACGAUAUGACAGGCUUGUAGGGGUAGAAGAUCACCUUGAUUAGGAGAGUUAUCGAUUUUCCUUGCCUAAUAUUUAGGUGUAUCAUGUGGGUGAUUACCCUAGUUUGUUGUUUGCAUCUUGAGAUUUGUGUGAACACUAAUCAGUUCACACACCAAAAUAGUGAGUAACAAUGUACAAAACUUGAUCUGAAAUAAAUGCUUUAUUUUGU